CCUACGGGAGGCAGCAGUGGGGAAUAUUGCGCAAUGGGCGAAAGCCUGACGCAGCGACGCCGCGUGAGGGAUGAAGGUCUUCGGAUCGUAAACCUCUGUCAGCAGGGAAGAACGGUCACUGUGCUAAUCAGCAGUGAAUUGACGGUACCUGCAAAGGAAGCACCGGCUAACUCCGUGCCAGCAGCCGCGGUAAUACGGAGGGUGCGAGCGUUAAUCGGAAUUACUGGGCGUAAAGCGCUCGUAGGCGGUAUGUCAAGUCAAGGGUGAAAUGCCCGCGUUCAACGUGGGAACUGCCUUUGAAACUGGCAAACUGGAGUGUGUGAGAGGAUAGUGGAAUUCCAGGUGUAGGAGGGAAAUCCGUAGAUAUCUGGAGGAACAUCAGUGGCGAAGGCGACUAUCUGGCACAUAACUGACGCUGAGGAGCGAAAGCGUGGGUAGCAAACAGGAUUAGAUACCCGGGUAGUC
This 465-nucleotide ribosomal RNA is filed under the name uncultured bacterium. RNAcentral's name for it is "partial 16S ribosomal RNA". It matches the Rfam family "Bacterial small subunit ribosomal RNA", at positions 338 to 795 of the family's 1533-position model. The record is from RNAcentral.